RNAcentral lists this ribosomal RNA (164 nucleotides) under Boesenbergia aurantiaca. RNAcentral describes it as "5.8S ribosomal RNA". It matches the Rfam family "5.8S ribosomal RNA". Rfam says of the family: 5.8S ribosomal RNA (5.8S rRNA) is a component of the large subunit of the eukaryotic ribosome. It is transcribed by RNA polymerase I as part of the 45S precursor that also contains 18S and 28S rRNA. Functionally, it is thought that 5.8S rRNA may be involved in ribosome translocation. The record is from RNAcentral. Lineage: Eukaryota; Viridiplantae; Streptophyta; Magnoliopsida; Zingiberales; Zingiberaceae.
CAAAUGACUCUCGGCAAUGGAUAUCUCGGCUCUUGCAUCGAUGAAGAACGUAGUGAAAUGCGAUACUUGGUGUGAAUUGCAGAAUCUCGUGAACCAUUGAGUCUUUGAACGCAAGUUGUGCCCGGAGCCUUGUGGCCGAGGGCACGCCUGCUUGGGCGUCAUGG